UGCCCAGCAACUCCUAUCCCUACCUCCACGCGGUACCGGCCGGAAACUAUGAGCAACCUUAGGAAAGAUCGGGUAACCAACCCCGGUGGGAACUUUGGACGUAGGAUGACAGGGAAGG
This is a non-coding RNA of Aedes albopictus (Asian tiger mosquito), 118 nucleotides long. The record is from Rfam. NCBI's taxonomy places the organism in Eukaryota, Metazoa, Arthropoda, Insecta, Diptera, Culicidae.